GUUAAAAGUGUCCCCCGGCCGCUCGCUGCCGGAGACUGGCGGACUCUUGCUCACUGGGUGCUGUCUCCUUGUUGGUACUCCGCCGCCAUGUUUUCCACGUAAACAUGAGACACACAACUGGGAUGACGUCGGUCAAGGUCAUUAAACGUACCAUCAGCAGCAGCAGCAGCAGCGGCAGCAGCAGCAGUAGGAGAGGACGCUCUGUGUCUUCGGCUGAUAGGAGCCGAGCAGCUUAUCGUCUGGCAGAUCUUGAAUUCCACCCAUCUUCUUUUGGACAUUCUCACCUAUAUUCGGUCCCACCUGUGAACACAACGCCGUCUGCACGACGCACUGAGCAUUUGAAAGUUUCGUCUGCCUCUAAAUUAUUGAUUUGCUGAAGGAGUACUGUGUCAGCAGUUACCCGAGCAACUUUACCAAGUCGACCACUAACAAAUGGAUUGGGACAGGAUUCCAUGUAAUAUUAAAAACCCAACAACAGGAAUGUACAUGGCAAGUAGUGCAUACAUUCACUGUACUUCUCAGAGAGAGCAAGAAAAAAAGUGCUCUGAAAUAAGAAUGGACUCAGACAACUAAAGAGAAAUGCAUUAUUGAUAUUCGUUGCAGAAAUGCCUCUUAUCACUAUACAUAUGAAUUCAACAAAAUAAAGAUGAAAACAGGAUUUUGUUUUCCGUAUUUGGAUUGAGAUAUUUAGUUAAUCAGAUAUUUAAAGUCUGUGCGAUGAGAAAAAGAUCAUGAAGUCUCUUCUGUCAUUAGCUGUUUUGUAUGAAAUGUACUUUAAAAUGUAAAUUUCAACAUAAAUAUGUUAUUUGAAGGAAUAUAUAAGUGCAUACUGUAUAAUGUUUAUUCAUUAUGUUUGUUUUGAGUUGGCAUGGAAACAGUUAUAAGCCCCUAAAAACUGCUAAGAUGUAAAAUGCAUAAAUGGCCCCUGAUUCCUUCCUGUUUAUUAGUGUAGAUCAAAUUUGACUUUCUUUGUUGUGUCCUCCACUUUCCCCCUCCCAUCCUUUACCCUGCACCAAAAAUCAUUAAAGCAGGAAGCAGCACAGA
Molecule: long non-coding RNA, 1044 nt
Organism: Hippoglossus stenolepis (Pacific halibut)
Lineage: Eukaryota; Metazoa; Chordata; Actinopteri; Pleuronectiformes; Pleuronectidae
Exons: 2
Source: RefSeq, a predicted model, not a curated record